AUACGGAGGAUGCGAGCGUUAUCCGGAUUUAUUAGGUUUAAAGGGUGUGUAGGCGGUAUUUUAAGUCAGUGGUGAAAUCUCGGAGCUUAACUUCGAAACUGCCAUUGAUACUGGAAUACGUGAGUAUAGUUGAGGUAGGCGGAAUAUGUAAUGUAGCGGUGAAAUGCAUAGAUAUUACAUAGAACACCGAUUGCGAAGGCAGCUUACUAAACUAUUACUGACGCUGAUGCACGAAAGCGUGGGGAGCGAACAGGAUUAGAAACCCCUGUAGUCC
Molecule: ribosomal RNA, 274 nt
Filed under: uncultured bacterium
Lineage: Bacteria
Description: partial 16S ribosomal RNA
Rfam family: Bacterial small subunit ribosomal RNA
Source: RNAcentral